This is a long non-coding RNA of Sapajus apella (tufted capuchin), 4229 nucleotides long. RefSeq lists it as uncharacterized. Lineage: Eukaryota; Metazoa; Chordata; Mammalia; Primates; Cebidae. The transcript is spliced from 2 exons. The record is from RefSeq and is a predicted model, not a curated record.
CUUCCUUUAGGAGUCAGUUGUCGUAAAUAUUUUUAACAGCAAAUUCACGUACCACGCUAUUCACCUAUUUAAAGUGUACAGUUCAAUUGUUUUCAGUAUAUACAAAAAAUUGUACAACCAUCACCGCAGUCUAAUUUAGAGCAUUUUUGUCCUCCUCUAAAGAACCCUGUACUCAUGAGCAAUCUCUCCUUGCUCCGACCCCUCUAGCCCUCAGCAACCACUAAUCUUUUUUUGUCUUUAUGGAUUUGCCUAUUCUGGACAUUUCAUAUAAAUGGAAUCACACAUUAUGUGGUCUUUCGUGACUAGCUGCUUUCACUUGGCAGAAUGUUUUCAAGGUUCUCCUGUCUUGUAGCACGGAUCAGUGCUGGAGUCAGUUAUUCAAUGCUGCAUCCUGAGUUCGCGUAAAACCACCUAAAAUAUGAGUCCCCCACUUCAGGAAGCGCUGCUGUAAUGAAUAAAGAACGUUUUGGGGGAAUCUUAGCUCAGUCUCUUGCUAGUUCCGAGCGGGCUGGUUCAGGCUUCCCUGCCAUGGUGUUGGGGGAGGAGGUUUAUCUUUCAGCUGUCCUUGGGACUGGGCAGGAACUGGUUCCAAUGUUACUGCCACUCUAUCCUCCUUCCUAAAUCAGGACUCUGGGCGCUCCUGGGAAUCACUGUCUGUUCCUGCUCUCUGGGAGUGUGAAUGAGUCACUGGGUGAGCAUGUCAGCAGCACCUGUGUGUGCUGGUCUGGGGUGAGAAGCCUGGGCCAAGGGGCAACGGAGGGGAGAAAGAAGCAGGCGGCCACGAGGUCAGCAAGUGGCUGCUCGACUCAUACCCCGCAGCCAGCAUUCCCUGCCUCUACCCUUACACUUGUUUUGGCUGCAGGAAGCUGUUUUAGGUGGAAAUCGUUUGAUACGUGUAGGUGCUGUCUUCCCAAACACACCGUGCUCAGUGAUUGCCCCAGCUCUGCAGUAUGUACUUUUUGUAGUUCUUGGUAGCUACCAACGUUUUCAGCCCCUAAAUAGUAUAGUACUUGUUUUAAUCCUCUCAUGGAUUGUGUGAGGUAGGUGAUCUUUUCCGCAUUCACAGACGGGAAACUGAGCUUCAGGAUGGUCACAUGACUUGUCCAAGGUCUUAUGAUUAGGAAUCGUUGCGGCUGGGAUUUGAACUGGAGUGCAAAGCGUUUGCUCUUGACCCAAUAGGAAGGCAGAGGCUGUGGUGGGGAGCAGCUUGGUUAUGGAUACCCAGAAGGCAGAGCCGUCUCUUGUGUACCACGAAACGGGGCAUUUACCUUGGGUACUCUCUUUGGAGUGUGUUACUGGAGCUUGAGCAGAGACUUGGGGAAUCUUCUGGGGAUGAGGCCAGUAAUGUGUUGGGAACACUCAUGGAGAUGAGGAACACUCAGUGUUAUGUUUUGGAGCCUUGCCCUAUACCCAAGGACCUCCAAGUCUUUCUAUUAGUCAAGACCCUUUGGGAAAUGAGUGAAAGAACUCAACCAACUUGAACAAAGAGAAUUGAUCGAUUCAUGUAAAGAAAAUAUCCAGGAUAAGACUGCCUUCAGGUAUGGCUGGAUCCAGGGGUUUAAAGGUUGAAGCUGCUGCCUCACCUCACAACCCCGGUUCAUAUUCCUGAAUCAAUUGGGGAGUUGUGUAGGGGGAAUGCUGUUUUGAUUGGCUGGUGCCGGGUCAGGUGCAUAUCCUUGGAAGUGAAGGCAUGGUCAUUCCUACUUGAACCACAUAAACCAAGAAGGAAACCUGGGACCCUUGCCUCAGAAGCAGUGGAAAGGGAUGCUGAGCAGGUUUCAGACCAUAGGUAUCCUCCUCGUGGUUGGUAGAGAAGCCACCAUUCACCUCUCUGGCUUUACUGCCAACUUGCCAUGGGACCCCGAGCAAGCUGCUUCCCUUCUCUGAGUCUCAGUUUCCCCAUGUGAACAGUGGUGAUCUUUAAGGGCUCAUACAGCUCUGAACUUCUGAGGCCAACAGGUUUUGUCUAGCCAACAGCUUGGCAUCCUAGCUUGACAGAUCCAAGCUAUGACUUAGGAAUGCAUGGCCUUCAGAAACCCUGGGGUGGGAUCUGGGGCUGGGUGCUUGGCCUCUUGUUCUUGCCCAUCCUGGCAGGGUACAGCCUGUGAUGUGGGAGGGAAGGGUUCUGAGGAGGGUUCUUUGCACAUCCCCAGCAUUCUCCGUCUAUAAUUGGCUCCAAAUGAAAUGAUCUCAUCCCUGAGCACUGAGGAAGAAAGGGUGGGGGUGAAACAGCUCGCUGGCAGCAUCUGACAUAGUUUGUGACUAACCCGCUUCCCUCCUGAGGCAGGGAGAGACUGUCCGCUCUCUCGAAGACAAUGUACAAUUUUGAGAAAAAAAACAACAAAGUCUUGGUAAAUAGAUUGAGGAGGCUCCAGCCUCCUGAGCUUUCGGGAGGCCCAAGGCAUUUCUCCUCUCUGCCCAAACCAGGUGUCUUUUUGACCCCGGCUCACAAGUCAACCUGACCCAUGCUAUUACCAAUCCCCAAACUUUUCCCAUCAAACUCUGGCCGGGAAGGUUGUGAGUGUAGCCAGUCCACCAAGCAAUUUGUCCCUUAUGGAUUCUUGAUUGAGUUUUGUGGCCGACUGAAGCUUGUUUAAAUGCCCAUACAUUAAUUUUGAAAGAUGAGCUCCUAAUCAACUUUUAAAAAGCUUGUCACAGCACCAUCUGUUUGGCGUUUGUCACUAUUGCAUUACAUAAGAGGAAAGACAUUUUUAAAGAAUGCGGCUACAUUUAGUAAUUGGAUCGCCGGAGAGGAGCCAAGCCGGGGCGGAUGGCACCGUGAUUCAGAAAUGCCACGGGCCCUUCUCUGGGGUGUGGCGGCCUCCCCAAAUUCCACGCGGUCUUGGCAGAGACCUGAGUGCAGCCCAGCUUGGGAGACAGGCUUGGGGUGUCUUCUCUUCCUCUUGCCUUGGUCUCCCUCUUAUUUUUCCCAUUCGUUCUCCCUCACCCCUUGCCACCACAGUAAUUAGCAGUGACCAAGUGGCUUCACUUCCCUGAGUCCCAGCUUCCUCAUCUGGAAAACGGGAUUCACAAGAGCACCAUCUUACAGCGCUGGUGUGAGGUUUAGAUGCAUUAUUGCCUACGGUGCCUGGCACGUGGUUUGCUGUGUUCAGUCACAGAGGCUGUGCCUGCACCAUUCAGGGAGCGCCAUUCACACGGAUUGCAAUGAAAUGGGACCUCCUGGAGCUGUGCAGUGCAGUGGCCCUGAGCAUAGAUAUAAGUAAAUUGAUGUAAAAUGUCUGUGAAAAUGUUCAUAUGUGUAUGUGUCUGGAUAUUUAAAUAUAAGUGACAUGCAAAUAUGUGUAUAUGGAUGUCUUAAAAUGUUGAUAUUUCAUUCCUCAUGGACUUUUGCUUGAAUAUUGGUUUUAAAAAAUAUUGCAUUAGAUAUUAUUUCUCUUGAUUACUCAGUUUUUGGGUGCAUCUUACAUUUGCAUCAGAGGCAAGUGCAUCACUCUGUUUACGGUGGUCCUCACCCUGCCCGGGGCUGGGCAGUGAAUGUGCAGGAGGCAGGGAUGAGGCAAAGGAAGCCUCUCCUGGCUCCUUCCAGCAUCUGGGCUCAUCAGCACAUGACUAGAAUCCAAACCCAACCUGAGCACAUUUUGUUCCUUUAAAACAAUAUUUAUUGAGUGCUGACUGUGCGCCAGGGACUCUGCAUACAUUAUUUUAUUUUAUCCUUACCACUAUCUCUGGGGGUAGAUAUUUGCUCAUUCAAUUGAACAGACAUUUGCUUAGGACAUACUAUGUGCCAAGAGUAUAAGCUGGCAUUUGUGCUGGCCUGGAAGCCACUCGCAAUUUUUCUGGUAACAGCACCCCAGUUUUCCUUUAGAGAACCUAACCUCUUCCCUUUACUGUGGUUCCACCUGGGCCUUCUGUACCCGUCCCUAAGACUCCAGGGGUGGGCGUGUGAUCCAGGUCACCCAAACAGCAUACUCCAUCCCUCUUGCUCCUAUAACUAGAGAUUAGUUAUAGGAUGAGUAUCUGACCCAAGCUGGUCCAAUCAGAGUGAAUCCUGGAAUUUUUGCUGCUCUGUUGGGAAAAAGAGCUCCCUUUCCAUCAAGAUUUCUAGCUGUAAGAAUUCUAUAACCCUGGAAUUCCCAGUGAGAGUCCACUACAAGGAGAGAGAGAGGAAAAACUCAUCCCUUAUGAUAUCUUUAGAGGCCCUGGAUCCAGCCACACCUGAAGUUAGUUGCCCUAAGAUUUUUCAAUUCUAUGAGUUUAUAUUCGUUUUU